This 21-nucleotide non-coding RNA is filed under the name Caenorhabditis elegans. Lineage: Eukaryota; Metazoa; Nematoda; Chromadorea; Rhabditida; Rhabditidae. The record is from RNAcentral.
UUGAUGGUGAAACACACUUCA